Non-coding RNA from Microcebus murinus (gray mouse lemur), 557 nucleotides. NCBI's taxonomy places the organism in Eukaryota, Metazoa, Chordata, Mammalia, Primates, Cheirogaleidae. The record is from RefSeq and is a predicted model, not a curated record.
UUGCUCCCUUUGUCUCCGAAACAUUCCGCCCACACCCUAACCCCUCAGGGGCUCUCCGCCACUCUCCGAGCUCUUAUCAGGGUAUUUUUUUCCAAAGUAAAUACAUUUCCCUUUCUGGUGCCAACUGUUAAUAAAAUAGCAUUCCUCCGCGUUAUGACACGUGGUGGCACCGAUUUUUAUGUUGGAGCGGCUUCCGCUGUUGGAAUAGACAGCAGGAGAUUUCGUGCAUUUCAGAGCGUGCAGUGCUUCUUAAUAAGACAGUCAAUUCUUGCCAUCUCCCUGCAAUGAAAUGCUGCUCCAGAGGCAUGAUCUGCACGACCUAGAUGAUUUCUACUGUCAGUACGUCAGAGUGGUUUGUCCCAGCAGAUGACAAGAAUGUGACACAGAGGAAAUAGGAAUGGCUGUUUUUUCACCAAGGCUGUUCAGAACUUCAAUCAUCUGAUUUCCAUGACUGUGAAUCUCUUCAUGCACCCAGGACCCCUACCAGCUUCAUAAAAAUCAGGCUCCCAGAGAAGACUGCAGAGCAGUAGGAGCCAAUCUAACUAGCAUGUGUUCAA